UUCCUACGGGAGGCAGCAGUUGCGAAAACUCCACAAUGCACGAAAGUGUGAUGGGGCUACCCCGAGUGCCGUCCGCUGAGGACGGCUUUUCUCUGCUGUAAGGAGGCGGAGGAAUAAGGAGAGGGCAAGUCUGGUGUCAGCCGCCGCGGUAAUACCAGCUCUCCGAGUGGUAGGGACGAUUAUUGGGCCUAAAGCGUCCGUAGCCGGCUCGGCAAGUCUCCCGUUAAAUCCAACGAUUCAAUCGCUGGACUGCAGGAGAUACUGUUGGGCUAGGAGGCGGGAGAAGCCAUCGGUAUUCUCGGGGUAGGGGUGAAAUCCUGUAAUCCCGGGAGGACCACCAGUGGCGCAACGCUGAUGAGCAUAGCA
Molecule: ribosomal RNA, 366 nt
Filed under: uncultured crenarchaeote MCG
Lineage: Archaea; Thermoproteati; Thermoproteota
Description: bacterial SSU rRNA
Rfam family: Archaeal small subunit ribosomal RNA
Source: RNAcentral